UUCCCUCUGGGACAAGCCCUCCUGGAAAGUCAAAUUUUCCGGUGCCGUUACACCGAGAGGGA
This 62-nucleotide transfer RNA is filed under the name Platevindex sp. CL-2014. RNAcentral's name for it is "tRNA-Gln". The record is from RNAcentral. Lineage: Eukaryota; Metazoa; Mollusca; Gastropoda; Systellommatophora; Onchidiidae.